This 1123-nucleotide unclassified non-coding RNA is filed under the name Hevea brasiliensis (rubber tree). The record is from RNAcentral. Lineage: Eukaryota; Viridiplantae; Streptophyta; Magnoliopsida; Malpighiales; Euphorbiaceae.
CAUAUAUAUUGCAUAUAUAUUCAAUUAAUAGCAUGAACUUAACAAGCAAAUCUAUAAUGCAUCUUAAGACAUUAUAAUUUGCGGUUGUUAGGAGCAGUAAUGGUAACCAAAAUGAUAUGCCGACGAUUAAUUAUAGCAGUUAGUGUUUUUGAAACAGAAAUUGAUGCAACGUUAACACACGAAACAGAAAAUAAAUGAGCAUGAUAGUGAAAAGGCACAGAUACAUAUGUAUGGACGACUGCAGCCUUUAAUUUGCUGGUGAUGCCUGCUUCUUCAGUAGUGCAUGUUUAAAGUUGUACACCUAAUGAUUUGCCCUUUAUCUUCCAUGUAGAGAGACAAUUCAGAGAUACACAUAAAGCUUGAACAGUCUCUUUUUCUGAUUUUUUUUCCCAGACAGACAGAGCCAUAUGGACGCUUUUCUGGAAAUCCAAACAACAAUCAUCUAAAAAACCAGGAAAAUAAAUAAAUUAAAGGCCAAAAAUUAUAAUAAAAUAAAUCUUGAGUUCGAUCUUUGUGAUUUGCAGUAUACGUACAAUUCACUUUAAUGACAUGAAACAUGUUUGGCUUUAAAGGAAAAACAUGGAGAGGGCAUGGAGGCUAUCUUCAUCGGAUUGGGUAGCUGCAGGAGACCUUCUUGACCUAGUUACCCUCUGGCAAACCAACCGCAGAGCUCUCCCCCAUCUAUUGCCAAGAGACUGUUCUUGGUUUCUAUUGUCAAAGGUGAUUCGACCCAAUUGAAAGAGGAAAAGUCUGGAUGCGUAUAUCACAUCAGAAUGAGCUCGGCGAACCAGCCCGAGACUGCAGGCGAGUUUUACUACGAAAGGGCAAAGCAGGCUUGUAAGCAAUGGGGAGACAACAGUGUGAGAGGAUGAGAGUGAUAGGAGGUGGAACUUGGCUAGUGCCGUCAAGGGUAAGCCCAUGGUUACUUAUAACUGACGAGAAGUAAGCUGAAAAGAAGCAUCUUAUGGAGUUUUUGAAGGUGAAGGAACGGACAUGAUAGUACUGACACGAAGGUCUCAGUUUUUCUUCAUCGGUUUCUGUGAGUUACAUAUGAGUUCAGUUUCCAUGGCUAAAAUAAAAUAAAAUAAAGAUGCUGUCAUUUGGAAAUUCUUGGCCGUUUUCG